This 446-nucleotide ribosomal RNA is filed under the name uncultured bacterium. RNAcentral describes it as "bacterial SSU rRNA". It matches the Rfam family "Bacterial small subunit ribosomal RNA", at positions 330 to 793 of the family's 1533-position model. The record is from RNAcentral.
UCCAGACUCCUACGGGAGACAGCAGUGGGGGAUAUUGGACAAUGGGGGGAACCCUGAUCCAGCGAUGCCGCGUGAGGGAAGAAGGUUUUCGGAUUGUAAACCUCUGUGGACAGGGACGAUAAUGACGGUACCUGUCAAGAAAGCCACGGCUAACUACGUGCCAGCAGCCGCGGUAAUACGUAGGUGGCAAGCGUUAUCCGGAUUUACUGGGUGUAAAGGGCGUGUAGGCGGGACUGCAAGUCAGAUGUGAAAACCACGGGCUCAACCUGUGGCCUGCAUUUGAAACUGUAGUUCUUGAGUACUGGAGAGGCAGACGGAAUUCCUAGUGUAGCGGUGAAAUGCGUAGAUAUUAGGAGGAACACCAGUGGCGAAGGCGGUCUGCUGGACAGCAACUGACGCUGAGGCGCGAAAGCGUGGGGAGCAAACAGGAUUAGAUACCCCCGUAC